RNAcentral lists this ribosomal RNA (740 nucleotides) under uncultured Cytophaga sp. RNAcentral describes it as "bacterial SSU rRNA". It matches the Rfam family "Bacterial small subunit ribosomal RNA", at positions 87 to 825 of the family's 1533-position model. The record is from RNAcentral. Lineage: Bacteria; Pseudomonadati; Bacteroidota; Cytophagia; Cytophagales; Cytophagaceae.
GGUGGCGAGCGGCGCACGGGUGCGUAACGCGUAUGCAACCUGCCUUAUACAGGGGGAUAGCCCAUGGAAACGUGGAUUAAUACCCCAUAACAUCAUGAAUUCGCAUGGAUUUAUGAUUAAAAUUUCGAUGGUAUAAGAUGGGCAUGCGUCUGAUUAGCUAGUUGGUGAGGUAACGGCUCACCAAGGCGACGAUCAGUAGGGGUUCUGAGAGGAUUAUCCCCCACACUGGUACUGAGACACGGACCAGACUCCUACGGGAGGCAGCAGUGAGGAAUAUUGGUCAAUGGGCGAGAGCCUGAACCAGCCAUCCCGCGUGCAGGAUGACGGCCCUAUGGGUUGUAAACUGCUUUUCUACGCCAAGAAACGGCCCUACGUGUAGGGCACUGACGGUAGCGUAGGAAUAAGCAUCGGCUAACUCCGUGCCAGCAGCCGCGGUAAUACGGAGGAUGCAAGCGUUAUCCGGAUUCAUUGGGUUUAAAGGGUGCGCAGGCGGGAAAGUAAGUCAGUGGUGAAAAACUGCCGCUCAACGGUAGUCGUGCCAUUGAUACUGCUUUUCUUGAGUUUGGAUGAGGUAGGCGGAAUGUGCAGUGUAGCGGUGAAAUGCAUAGAUAUUGCACAGAACACCAAUUGCGAAGGCAGCUUACUAAUCCACGACUGACGCUGAGGCACGAAAGCGUGGGGAGCGAACAGGAUUAGAUACCCUGGUAGUCCACGCCGUAAACGAUGUUCACUCGCUGUUU